UACAGAGGUCUCAACCGUUGUUCGGAUUCAUUGGGCGUAAAGGGUGCGUAGGCGGUCGCGCAAGUCGGAUGUGAAAUCUUAGGGCUCAACCCUGAAACUGCAUUCGAUACUGCGUGGCUCGAGUACUGGAGAGGAGACUGGAAUUUACGGUGUAGCAGUGAAAUGCGUAGAUAUCGUAAGGAAGACCAGUGGCGAAGGCGGGUCUCUGGACAGUUCCUGGCGCUGAGGCACGAAGGUCAGGGGAGCAAACGGG
RNAcentral lists this ribosomal RNA (253 nucleotides) under uncultured bacterium. RNAcentral's name for it is "partial 16S ribosomal RNA". It matches the Rfam family "Bacterial small subunit ribosomal RNA", at positions 524 to 776 of the family's 1533-position model. The record is from RNAcentral.